RNAcentral lists this ribosomal RNA (468 nucleotides) under uncultured bacterium. Its description in RNAcentral is "partial 16S ribosomal RNA". It matches the Rfam family "Bacterial small subunit ribosomal RNA", at positions 28 to 507 of the family's 1533-position model. The record is from RNAcentral.
GACGAACGCUGGCGGCGUGCUUAACACAUGCAAGUCGAACGGAAAGGCCCUGCUUUUGUGGGGUGCUCGAGUGGCGAACGGGUGAGUAACACGUGAGUAACCUGCCCUUGACUUUGGGAUAACAUCAGGAAACUGGGGCUAAUACCGGAUAGGAGCUCCUGCAGCAUGGUGGGGGUUGGAAAGUUUCGGCGGUUGUGGCUGGAAUCGCGGCUUAUCAGCUUGUUGGUGGGGUAGUGGCUUACAAAGGCUUUGACGGGUAGCCGGCCUGAGCGGGUGAACGGGCUCAAUGCGCCUGAGAGACGGACCAGUCGCCUACGGGACGCAGCAGUGGGGAAUAUUGCACAAUGGGCGGAAGCCUGUGGCGGCAAUCCCCCGUUCGGGAUGAUGGCCUUCGGGUUAAGAACCGCUUUCGCCGUUGACGAAGCGGGAGUGACGGUAAUGAGUAAAGAAGCACCGGCUAACUACGUG